CGUUGGGGGGGAGCCCGCUCCGAGGGGGCUUGAGUUUCCCUCCCCGGCUGCAGCCGCCCCGGCUUCCCGGACCCGCCGCUCGCCUCCCGCGCGCCCGUUCCCCCUUCCCGGCUCCCCGCCGCCGCCGCUGUUGUUGUUCCCGUGCAAGUCUCCGGGCUCCUUCCCAGCCCGGGGAGCGGGGAGGCAACGUGGAAAAUCGCUCGGAGGAAGGAGCCGAAGGCGGGAGUGAUAAAUAUUGAAAGGGUGGGAUUUCGAUGUAGGCUGCAACAGCUGUGCUGGUUACAGUGUCACACUAUCUCUCCACAGGUUUACUGACCCAUUUCCAUUCACACGGCUGCCAGUAUCUUAGCAACUGCAACAGUCCCCCAAGAACAGGCAUAUUGCCUGCUAUUAGGGACUGCUGCAACUGUGUCAAGGUUAGCGCUCUCCCUCCAAGCCCUGCCGGGGUGGUUUUCACCGAGAGCCGGCGCGGGCUCUUCCCCGGCGCCCCCCGAAAGCCGCYGCCCCGAGGCCGGGGUGAUGGGCUGGGGUCCGGCGCGGGGACGCGCGGCUGGGGCUCUUCCCGGGUGUCUCUGGGGUCGGGUCCGGCGGUGCUGGGUUUAAGGGGGGUGUCAUCCCUCUGCCUGGCUCGGGCACUGCCGAGCGCGGAGCCCACCGCCUGCCCGGGCCGGGUCCCGCCGGUGCUGGAGGUUUGUACAGCACCGAGCGCCGCCAGGCCCCACCAUUGCCCAAAAAAGUCGCCAGCAACCCGCAGCUCGGGGGUUUUUCCGCCAUUUCCCACCCUGCGGGGUUUGGGGAUGGAGUCGUUGCCCGGCAGUGUCACGAGCGGGACCGGUCUCGGAGGGACCCCUGGGUGGCCGAGCCCCGAGCGCUGGGCUGGGCGCAGCAGGGCACCCGCACGGCACCGACCCCCCCUGCGGCGCGGGGAGGGGAAACUGAGGCACGGCCGCAUUUUAGGCCGGCCGGGGCAGCUGUGGGCAGGGCCAGCGGGCGAGGGGCAGGAUGCCGCCCCCGGGCCCCCCCCGCGCCGGCCGGUCCCCCCGGCAGCGCUGCAGACGGCAGGCUCCACGCGAGCACCGCCGCGGGGACGGCUGAGAGGGAAGCCACAAAAAUGAUUUAAGGGGCU
This 1126-nucleotide long non-coding RNA is filed under the name Dromaius novaehollandiae (emu). Its description in RNAcentral is "lncRNA (ENSDNVG00000006997.1)". Lineage: Eukaryota; Metazoa; Chordata; Aves; Casuariiformes; Dromaiidae. The record is from RNAcentral.